CACGUAGGGUGCGAGCGUUGUCCGGAAUUAUUGGGCGUAAAGAGCUCGUAGGCGGUGUGUCGCGUCGGCCGUGAAAACCUGCAGCUUAACUGUGGGCUUGCGGUCGAUACGGGCAUCACUGGAGUUCGGCAGGGGAGACUGGAACUCCUGGUGUAGCGGUGAAAUGCGCAGAUAUCAGGAGGAACACCGGUGGCGAAGGCGGGUCUCUGGGCCACUACUGACGCUGAGAAGCGAAAGCAUGGGGAGCGAACAGG
RNAcentral lists this ribosomal RNA (254 nucleotides) under uncultured bacterium. RNAcentral's name for it is "partial 16S ribosomal RNA". It matches the Rfam family "Bacterial small subunit ribosomal RNA", at positions 524 to 776 of the family's 1533-position model. The record is from RNAcentral.